RNAcentral lists this ribosomal RNA (164 nucleotides) under Aira praecox. RNAcentral describes it as "5.8S ribosomal RNA". It matches the Rfam family "5.8S ribosomal RNA". Rfam says of the family: 5.8S ribosomal RNA (5.8S rRNA) is a component of the large subunit of the eukaryotic ribosome. It is transcribed by RNA polymerase I as part of the 45S precursor that also contains 18S and 28S rRNA. Lineage: Eukaryota; Viridiplantae; Streptophyta; Magnoliopsida; Poales; Poaceae. The record is from RNAcentral.
HCACAUGACUCUCGGCAACGGAUAUCUCGGCUCUCGCAUCGAUGAAGAACGUAGCGAAAUGCGAUACCUGGUGUGAAUUGCAGAAUCCCGCGAACCAUCGAGUCUUUGAACGCAAGUUGCGCCCGAGGCCUCUCGGCCGAGGGCACGCCUGCCUGGGCGUCACG